AGUGAACGCUGGCGGUAGGCCUAACACAUGCAAGUCGAACGGCAGCACAGUAAGAGCUUGCUCUUACGGGUGGCGAGUGGCGGACGGGUGAGGAAUACAUCGGAAUCUACUUUUUCGUGGGGGAUAACGGAGGGAAACUUACGCUAAUACCGCAUACGACCUACGGGUGAAAGCAGGGGAUCUUCGGACCUUGCGCGAUUGAAUGAGCCGAUGUCGGAUUAGCUAGUUGGCGGGGUAAAGGCCCACCAAGGCGACGGUCCGUAGCUGGGCUGAGGGGAUGGUCGACCGACACAGGAGGGGAGAGACGGCCCAGCGCCUUAGGGAGGCAGCAGUGGGGAAUAUUGGACAAUGGGCGGAAGCCUGAUCCAGCCAUACCGCGUGGGUGAAGAAGGCCUUCGGGUUGUAAAGCCCUUUUGUUGGGAGAGAAAAGCAGCAGCUUAAUACCCCGCUGUUCUGACGGUACCCAGAGAAUAAGCACCGGCUAACUACGUG
This 492-nucleotide ribosomal RNA is filed under the name uncultured bacterium. RNAcentral describes it as "partial 16S ribosomal RNA". It matches the Rfam family "Bacterial small subunit ribosomal RNA", at positions 29 to 507 of the family's 1533-position model. The record is from RNAcentral.